Small nuclear RNA from Sorex araneus (European shrew), 162 nucleotides. Its record names the gene U1. It matches the Rfam family "U1 spliceosomal RNA". From Rfam's summary of the family: U1 is a small nuclear RNA (snRNA) component of the spliceosome (involved in pre-mRNA splicing). Its 5' end forms complementary base pairs with the 5' splice junction, thus defining the 5' donor site of an intron. There are significant differences in sequence and secondary structure between metazoan and yeast U1 snRNAs, the latter being much longer (568 nucleotides as compared to 164 nucleotides in human). Lineage: Eukaryota; Metazoa; Chordata; Mammalia; Eulipotyphla; Soricidae. The record is from Ensembl.
AUACUUACCUGGUAGAGGGUAUACCAUGAUCACAAAGCUGUUUUUCCCAGGACGAGACUUAUCUCUUACACUCUGGAUGUGCUGAUCAUGUAAUUUCCUCAACUGUGGGAAACUCAAUGCAUAAUUUGUGGUAGUGGGGGACUGCAUUUGUGCUCUCCAUCC